GACAGAGGGUGCAAACGUUGUUCGGAAUUACUGGGCGUAAAGCGCGUGUAGGCGGCUAUGUAAGUCGGGCGUGAAAUCCCACGGCUCAACCGUGGAAGUGCACCCGAAACUGCGUAGCUAGAGUCCUGGAGAGGAAGGUGGAAUGCUUGGUGUAGAGGUGAAAUUCGUAGAUAUCAAGCGGAACACCCGUGGCGAAGGCGGCUCUCUGGGACGGUACUGACGCUGAGACGCGAAAGCGUGGGGAGCGAACAGG
RNAcentral lists this ribosomal RNA (253 nucleotides) under uncultured bacterium. RNAcentral's name for it is "partial 16S ribosomal RNA". It matches the Rfam family "Bacterial small subunit ribosomal RNA", at positions 524 to 776 of the family's 1533-position model. The record is from RNAcentral.